RNAcentral lists this ribosomal RNA (403 nucleotides) under Verrucomicrobiota bacterium. RNAcentral describes it as "Verrucomicrobia bacterium partial 16S ribosomal RNA". It matches the Rfam family "Bacterial small subunit ribosomal RNA", at positions 355 to 776 of the family's 1533-position model. Lineage: Bacteria; Pseudomonadati; Verrucomicrobiota. The record is from RNAcentral.
UGGGGAAUCUUGCACAAUGGGGGCAACCCUGAUGCAGCGACGCCGCGUGAGCGAUGAAGGUUUUCGAAUCGUAAAGCUCUGUCCUAUGGGAAGAUAAUGACGGUACCAUAGGAGGAAGCCCCGGCUAACUACGUGCCAGCAGCCGCGGUAAUACGUAGGGGGCGAGCGUUGUCCGGAAUUACUGGGCGUAAAGGGUUCGCAGGCGGCAUGGCAAGUCCGAUGUAAAAGGCGAAGGCUCAACCUUCGUAAGCAUCGGAAACUGUCAAGCUUGAGUGAAGGAGAGGCAAGUGGAAUUCCUAGUGUAGCGGUGGAAUGCGUAGAUAUUAGGAGGAAUACCGGUGGCGAAGGCGACUUUCUGGACUUUUACUGACGCUCAGGUACGAAAGCGUGGGGAGCAAACAGG